RNAcentral lists this ribosomal RNA (506 nucleotides) under uncultured bacterium. RNAcentral describes it as "partial 16S ribosomal RNA". It matches the Rfam family "Bacterial small subunit ribosomal RNA", at positions 28 to 523 of the family's 1533-position model. The record is from RNAcentral.
GAUGAACGCUAGCUACAGGCUUAACACAUGCAAGUCGAGGGGUAACGAGAGGAAAGCUUGCUUUCCUUGUCGACGACCGGCGCACGGGUGAGUAACGCGUAUCCAACCUGCCCCCAACUAAGGAAUAACCUUGCGAAAGUAAGACUAAUACCUUAUAAUUUCCUCAGAUGCCAUCUGACGAGGAAUAAAGAUUUAUCGGUUGUGGAUGGGGAUGCGUCUGAUUAGCUUGUUGGCGGGGUAACGGCCCACCAAGGCAACGAUCAGUAGGGGUUCUGAGAGGAAGGUCCCCCACAUUGGAACUGAGACAUGGUCCAAACUCCUACGGGAGGCAGCAAUGAGGAAUAUUGGUCGAUGGGCGAAAGCCUGAACCAGCCAAGUAGCGUGCAGGAUGACGGCCCUAUGGGUUGUAAACUGCUUUUAUACAGGAAUAAAGUUAGCCACGUGUGGUUAUUUGUAGGUACUGUAUGAAUAAGGACCGGCUAAUUCCGUGCCAGCCGCCGCUGUAA